This 447-nucleotide ribosomal RNA is filed under the name uncultured bacterium. RNAcentral describes it as "bacterial SSU rRNA". It matches the Rfam family "Bacterial small subunit ribosomal RNA", at positions 330 to 793 of the family's 1533-position model. The record is from RNAcentral.
ACCAGACUCCUACGGGAGGCAGCAGUGGGGAAUAUUGCACAAUGGGGGAAACCCUGAUGCAGCGACGCCGCGUGAGUGAAGAGGUAUUUCGGUAUGUAAAGCUCUAUCAGCAGGAACGAGACAAGACGGUACCUGACUAAGAAGCCCCGGCUAACUACGCGCCAGCAGCCGCGGUAAUACGUAGGGGGCAAGCGUUAUCCGGAAUCACUGGGUGUAAAGGGAGCGUAGACGGCUGUGCAAGCCUGAAGUGAAAGGCGGGGGCCCAACCCCUGGACUGCUUUGGGAACUGUACGGCUGGAGUGCAGGAGAGGUAAGUGGAAUUCCUAGUGUAGCGGUGAAAUGCGUAGAUAUUAGGAGGAACACCAGUGGCGAAGGCGGCUUACUGGACUGUAACUGACGUUGAGGCUCGAAAGCGUGGGGAGCAAACAGGAUUAGAUACCCCCGUAC